GAUGAACGCUAGCUACAGGCUUAACACAUGCAAGUCGAGGGGCAGCGGUAUCGAAAGCUUGCUUUCGGUAGCCGGCGACCGGCGCACGGGUGAGUAACGCGUAUCGAACCUGCCUCAUACUCGGGAAUAGCCUUGCGAAAGUAAGAUUAAUGCCCGGUGUUUUCAGAGUCCCGCAUGAGGCUUUGAACAAAGAUUUAUCGGUAUGAGAUGGCGAUGCGUCCCAUUAGCUUGUUGGCGGGGUAACGGCCCACCAAGGCAUCGAUGGGUAGGGGUUCUGAGAGGAAGGUCCCCCACAUUGGAACUGGGACACGGUCCAAACUCCUACGGGAGGCAGCAGUGAGGAAGAUUGGUCAAGGGGCGGAAGCCUGAACCAGCCAAGUAGCGUGCAGGAAGACGGCGCUCCGGGUUGUAAACUGCUUUUAGUUGGGAACAAAACGGGGCUCGUGAGCCCCCUUGCAUGUACCAUCAGAAAAAGGACCGGCUAAUUCCGUG
Molecule: ribosomal RNA, 492 nt
Filed under: uncultured bacterium
Lineage: Bacteria
Description: partial 16S ribosomal RNA
Rfam family: Bacterial small subunit ribosomal RNA
Source: RNAcentral